Long non-coding RNA from Haemorhous mexicanus (house finch), 1319 nucleotides. RefSeq lists it as uncharacterized. Lineage: Eukaryota; Metazoa; Chordata; Aves; Passeriformes; Fringillidae. The record is from RefSeq and is a predicted model, not a curated record. The transcript is spliced from 2 exons.
CAAAAAAAGUUACCGUUUUUUUUUAAGAGAAAGAGCUGCAGAAGAGUUUUCUUUUGAGCUAGGAAUUGAUCGCUGGCCAAGAGUUCUUUGUUAGUGAAAUGUUGGAAUCACCCCUUGAGUAUCCUUAAGUACCGCCGUUUAACUCUAUUGUGGAGAAUUCUUGUUUUUCAGAACCACCCUAGCCUGUUGCCAGGAGGAUGACAACCUCCCCUCGGACGGUGGGGAGAGGGAGAAAUUUGCAUCUCAGGAGACAUGCAAAUUUAUCUCAAACCCAAACUGCACUGGGACGGGACCUUCACCAAAUCCUGGAAAAUACCCCAAAAAAGACGAGCCAAAGCAGAAUUGAGAAGUCAGGGUGGUGUCUGGACAUCAAGGCCGUGGUCCGGAGACGGCAGAGAUACUUGAAAACCUCGGUCACUCCUCGCCCCAACUACAAAUGAUGCCAGUCGGACCCAGGAGCCCCUGGACUGAUAACCCAAACUGAGAAACCUGGAUAUACCCCCACUGCUCUUGUGAGGACAGGACUCCCGGCUCUGGCCCCUAGGGGACAGAGCUGCAAAUCCUUCUCUUCUGAGUCACUGCUGGGACUGGCGGCAGAACUCUGCAGAUCUGCCAAAACCCCAUUAUGAGCUGAUCACUUUAAUAAAGGCAUUAAAAGGAGGAACAUCUCCUGCCCUGUUCAUUUCAGCUGGGGACUCGUCCGGGAUUGUCACGCCUAAAGAGGACACCAGGACUGGGAUGGCCGCCCACCCUGCGACCUCCGGGACAGCUGGCUAUCAGGACCAGAGGAAAUCAGCUCAGGACCAGUGACGCUGAGGAGCGCCAGUUUGAACCACCCUAGCCUGUUGCCAGGAGGAUGACAACCUCCCCUCGGACGGUGGGGAGAGGGAGAAAUUUGCAUCUCAGGAGACAUGCAAAUUUAUCUCAAACCCAAACUGCACUGGGACGGGACCUUCACCAAAUCCUGGAAAAUACCCCAAAAAAGACGAGCCAAAGCAGAAUUGAGAAGUCAGGGUGGUGUCUGGACAUCAAGGCCGUGGUCCGGAGACGGCAGAGAUACUUGAAAACCUCGGUCACUCCUCGCCCCAACUACAAAUGAUGCCAGUCGGACCCAGGAGCCCCUGGACUUAUAACCCAAACUGAGAAACCUGGAUAUACCCCCACUGCUCUUGUGAGGACAGGACUCCCGGCUCUGGCCCCUAGGGGACAGAGCUGCAAAUCCUUCUUUUCUGAGUCACUGCUGGGACUGGCGGCAGAACUCUGCAGAUCUGCCAAAACCCCAUUAUGAGCUGAUCACUUUAAUAAAGGCAUUAAAAGGA